RNAcentral lists this ribosomal RNA (621 nucleotides) under Candelariella coralliza. Its description in RNAcentral is "LSU rRNA". It matches the Rfam family "Eukaryotic large subunit ribosomal RNA", at positions 1 to 636 of the family's 3401-position model. The record is from RNAcentral. Lineage: Eukaryota; Fungi; Ascomycota; Candelariomycetes; Candelariales; Candelariaceae.
UGUUGACCUCGAAUCAGUUAGGAUACCCGCUGAACUUAAGCAUAUCAAUAAGCGGAGGAAAAGAAACCAACAGGGAUUGCCUCAGUAACGGCGAGUGAAGCGGCAACAGCUCAAAUUUGAAAUCUGGCUCCUUCGGGGUCCGAGUUGUAAUUUGUAGAGGAUGCUUCGGGUGCGGCGCCGGUCUAAGUUCCUUGGAACAGGACGUCAUAGAGGGUGAGAAUCCCGUAUGUGACCGGAUGCCUAUCCCAUGUGAAGCUCCUUCGACGAGUCGAGUUGUUUGGGAAUGCAGCUCUAAAUGGGUGGUAAAUUUCAUCUAAAGCUAAAUACUGGCCAGAGACCGAUAGCGCACAAGUAGAGUGAUCGAAAGAUGAAAAGCACUUUGGAAAGAGAGUUAAAAAGCACGUGAAAUUGUUGAAAGGGAAGCGCUCGCAAUCAGACUUGCCCGCAGUUGAUCAACCGGUGUUCUCACCGGCGCACGCUUCUGUGGUCAGGCCAGCAUCAGUUUGGGCGGUUGGAUAAAGGCCCGGAGAAUGUAGCUCCUCUCGGGGAGUGUUAUAGCUUCGGGUGCAAUGCGGCCCACCCGGACUGAGGACCGCGCUUCGGCUAGAUGCUGGCGUAAUG